RNAcentral lists this ribosomal RNA (207 nucleotides) under uncultured bacterium. Its description in RNAcentral is "partial 16S ribosomal RNA". It matches the Rfam family "Bacterial small subunit ribosomal RNA", at positions 568 to 774 of the family's 1533-position model. The record is from RNAcentral.
UGCGUAGGCGGCGAAGAAAGUUGGGUGUGAAAGCCCUCGGCUCAACCGAGGAAUUGCGCCCAAAACUACUUUGCUUGAGGGAGACAGAGGUGAGCGGAACUUGCGGUGGAGCGGUGAAAUGCGUUGAUAUCGCAAGGAACACCUGUGGCGAAAGCGGCUCACUGGGUCUCUUCUGACGCUGAGGCACGAAAGCUAGGGGAGCGAAGA